This 5523-nucleotide unclassified non-coding RNA is filed under the name Hevea brasiliensis (rubber tree). Lineage: Eukaryota; Viridiplantae; Streptophyta; Magnoliopsida; Malpighiales; Euphorbiaceae. The record is from RNAcentral.
UUCGAGAUUUGCAUAAAAAGGCUUGUUUUUUUUUCCCAAUUUUAAAGUUGAUAAUUUUUAAUUAAUUUCACCUAACUGCAAAUCAGCUAAAGCCAUUGCAAUUAACUUGUCUCAGUCAGCGACUUGUGCUUGUAGAGAAGAGGCGGAGGCGAUUUCAUUUUAUUUUGUAUCAAUGGCUUUGCAGACUUGCUUCGCCCUCUCAAGCCAAGCUCCCUAUUAUCAAAGCAACAGUCCAAAAUCUUGUUUUCCCAAAACCGUAUUUUCAAUUUCUUUGUCCAAAGCUUCUUUCUUAACAGGAAACAACGACCCACUGCCAUUAUCAUUUUGCUCAAGCAAGAGAAAGCUAAACCUCGCAAUUCUUGCUCUAAUCAUUAAUGGAUCUUUACCAAACAUAUCUAAGACCACUUUGGCCCUGGAGUUGGAGCAGCUUCAGAGGUACACUGAUCCCAAGGAAGGCUUCACUCUCCUCAUACCCUCUUCUUAUGUUAAGGUGGAUAAAGCAGGAGCAACUGUGUUGUUUGAGGAGAUAAACAAGGCAAGUAACAAUGUUGGGGUUGUGGUGAACCCAGUUCGUCUCACCAGCCUAGGUGAAUUUGGGACUCCUCAGUUUGUGGCUGACAAGCUUAUCCUAGCUGAAAAGCGUAAGGAGCACAAAUUAGCUGUAAUGCGGUGUAGCUACAUGGGUAAUUGUUGAACUCAUUGUAAUGGAAAGUACAAAAGAAGCAGAAGUAAUUGGAGUGGCUGAGAGAUCAGGCCACGGUGGCCUACAAGUAUAUGAAUUCGAGUAUAAAGUUGAUAGCACAAGGGGAGGGAUGAAGAGGAUCUUCUCAGCUGCAUUUGUGGUCUCUAAGAAGCUUUACCUCCUAAACAUUUCACACUCAGACAAGCCAGAGAGUCCUCUUGCCACUCAAACAAGAAUGAUGUUGGAAGAAGUGCUUCAUUCAUUUGACAUAGCAUAAUGCAUUCAUAGCAGAUGCUUUCAAAGCAGUUGGCCUGAUAAUGUACAUUUCUGCUUGAGAAGUCAAAGGUAACCUAUGUGCUUAUCCCAUUUUAAAUUUAUAUCAAGGUGAAAUAACAUCUAGCUUGCUGGUUGAAGGGCAUUGCAAUACCGCAUGAAUAUGAAUAGAUUUUUUCUUUUUUUUUUGGUUCAUGUUUCAGGUCAGAGUUUUAUAGGCUGUGGUUGUUUUCUUUCCAAUGUAAGGAAAAAGGAAAGAUUUUGUUUGUGUUUGCAUAUUCCAGCAUCUGUCAGUUGACUACAAGUCUGCAUUGUAUGUUGCAUUUGCUCGGCUGUUUGUGCAUCUGAAGUGUAAUAUUCAUGUAGGAUGUCCAAGAAUGUCAUCAUGAGCAUAAAUCAUUUGAAAUAAAUAAGAUAACAAGUAAAUUGUGAUCUUUCACAAUAAUCCUGUUCUAAAAAAAAAAUAAAUUUUGGGCAUCUCAUCUUACAAUAUCAUCUUAGUUUAAAAUUUAUAUAUCUUACCAUGUCAUUUUUUUUUCUUUUUAAUUCUGGCUGAUGCAUGGAGGUUACGCACUAAGAUUAUAAUGACUUGCAGAGAUAGUGUCUGGGUGGCAAGGAAUUGAUAAUCCCUUAGCUUGUCAAGGUAAGGUAAGGUUUAACAAUUGUCAAAAAGAUUCUCAUGACAAUAUAAAUGUAAGCAAUAGUCCUAGAGAAGUGCAAAAUUCAUUCAGAACAACAUUGCUAUUUAAUUGAAAAUUUAAGUUUAUCGCUUAAUGUUCUUUUCUCCCAUUUCUUUCUUUUUACAUUUGGUUUGUUUUUUCUCCAUAUACAUUAAAUAAAUCAGCAAGAUUCUGGUUGACACCUUCAAAAGUUGGAACCAUCCAGCUACACGUAAUGUUUAAGCAAUUUAUCUGCUUGUAUUCUGAAGAUUUUAUAGGCAGCUGGCAUGUAGUAACAGCACAUCCUUUAAGGGGGGAAAAAUAUGGUUGCAUCUAUCCAAGCUUGGAAAAUUCAAUUUAAUUAUGCUUUCAACAUAUGAACUUGACUAUUUUUAGGGUGUCAAUGAGUUUGCAUCCUAGUUCUCAUUACCUGUUUGGAAACUCAGAAUCUCUGCUUGAUGUCUUUUGAUAUUUAAACUACGGAUACAUUCAAGUGAGUUGAUCUUUGGAAACCAAUCAACGGAAGAAGUGCUGUGCGUCUGCAUAUGCAGAAGGAGAACCAAAUUUCAAAAAGAUUUAAUUUUAAGGUGAUCACUACUUCUAUAGUACUCAAAUGUUAAAUUCAUUGCCUAGCGGACUUGUUUCCAGUGAUUAAAGGAAUAUUACUUAACGUGACCACUACUUCUAUGGAAUUUUUAUGGAAUACUACUUUUUUUUAUCGAAGAAAAGAUUUCAUUAAGGUGGCCAAAAGAAAUGUUACAACAAUAACCUGUUGCCAUGAUUAUAUGAGAAAGAGUCAUCCCUGAAAGUGAGAGCAACUAAACAAUGGGCAACUUGAUUAUAUGACUUGUUCACAUAAUAAAAUGAGAUUUCAAUACAGCCGGUUGAGAGCAUUUUAACAUCAUUGAGAAUGUCAUGUGUCUUCGAAAAAAGUUAAAAUACUUUUUCACCGAAUAACUACUUGAUAAUCUCUUUUUAUUAUAACUUCCUUAAAACUCUUUGGUUUUUACAAGUUAAUGACUCAGGAGUAAGGAGUUCUAUGAUAAUAUGGUAUCUUCUACAAAUCCCUCCAUAAUACUGAUUCAGACGGUCUCUAGUUAAAACUGUCACAACUCAAUAAUUUAUGGGAUAUUAUGAAUCAAUAAUAAAAUCAAGUUAAAGAAAAAAAAAACUUAAUUUCUCAAUAAUAAAAACUAGAGUUGAAGUUAAAAAAAAGUAAUAAAAAUAAAAUUUUCCAUUUUUUCCAUUUGUUAAUUGAAUGAAGACUAGUAGCAACUUUUAAAGUCAACAGCUCUUUCAUUUCAUUUGCCGAAACCAAGUUGAGCCGUUUUCUUAUUUGCGUGGAGGGAACCCAUUUAACGAUAAUUCAAACGGUGCCACAGCAAACACAGACUUGUAUGACUUGCCUACCCUCAUUCAAAGCUACGAAUGGGCAUCAAGUCAAACCCUUCGUUCUUUGGAAAACCACUCCCUUAUAACUAGCUCAAUUUCAUCUUCAAUUGCACUUCCUUGCUAACAAUUCCAAGCAAUGGAUUCCGGGGAGAAGCGGCUCAAUGAGUUGGGUUACAAGCAAGAACUCAGAAGGGAAAUGACUUUGUUCAAGACUCUGGCAAUAUCAUUUUCUACGAUGACCCUUUUCACUGGGAUUACUCCCCUUUACGGUUCAAGCCUUUUAUAUGCAGGUCCUGCAAGCCUUGUCUGGGGUUGGGUUGUUGUUUCAUUCUUCACCUGGUUUGUUGGCAUUGCAAUGGCUGAGAUCUGUUCCUCUUUUCCAACCACUGGCUCACUAUACUUCUGGGCAGCCCAUUUAGCAGGCCCCAAAUGGGGUCCAUUUGCAUCAUGGUGUUGUGCUUGGCUUGAGACUAUAGGACUCAUUGCUGGGAUUGGUACUCAGGCAUAUGCAGGGUCACAAACACUGCAGAGUAUAAUCUUACUAUGCACAGGCACAAAUAAAGAUGGUGGAUAUUUUGCUCCUAAAUGGCUCUUCUUGUGCAUGUACAUGGGCCUCACUGUUAUAUGGGCAGUUCUCAACACAUUUGCAUUAGAAGUGAUUGCUUUCAUUGAUGUAAUCUCUAUAUGGUGGCAGGUUAUUGGUGGUUUGGCUAUUGUUAUAAUGCUUCCCAUGGUGGCACUGACUACAAGAUCUGCUUCAUAUGUGUUUACCCAUUUUGAAAUGGCACCCGAGUCAACAGGAAUAUCAAGCAAACCUUAUGCAGUCAUUUUAUCUUUCCUUGUAAGUCAGUAUUCACUAUAUGGAUAUGAUGCAGCAGCUCAUCUAACGGAAGAAACAAAAGAUGCAGAUAAAAAUGGUCCUAUUGCAAUUCUUUCUAGCAUUGGCAUCAUUUCAAUAUUUGGAUGGGCCUAUAUCUUGGCACUUACUUUUAGCAUUCAGGAUUUUAGCUACCUCUAUGAUACAACCAAUGAGACUGCUGGAGCAUUUGUGCCUGCUCAAAUACUAUAUGAUGCAUUCCAUGGGAGGUACCAUAAUGCUGCUGGAGCAAUCAUUUUGCUAUUUGUCAUUUGGGGUUCAUUCUUCUUCGGAGGGCUUUCAAUCACCACCAGUGCAGCAAGAGUGGUGUAUGCUCUAUCAAGAGAUCGAGGAAUUCCUUUCUCAUCGAUAUGGAGACAAGUGCAUCCAAAGCACAAAGUUCCCUCAAAUGCAGUGUGGCUUUGUGCAGCCAUCUGCAUUCUGCUAGGACUACCAAUUUUGAAAGUCAAUGUAGUCUUCACUGCCAUAACUUCCAUAUGCACAAUUGGAUGGGUUGGUGGCUAUGCAGUUCCAAUUUUUGCUAGAAUGGUAAUGGCUGAGAAGAAUUUCAAAGCUGGGCCAUUUUAUUUGGGCAAAGCCAGAAGGCCAGUCUGCUUCAUUGCCUUUCUUUGGAUUUGUUAUACCUGUUCUGUCUUUCUUUUGCCAACUUAUUACCCAAUUUCCUGGGAUACUUUCAACUAUGCACCGGUGGCUUUGGGCGUUGGUUUGGGUUUGAUAAUGCUUUGGUGGGUGUUGGAUGCAAGGAAAUGGUUCAAGGGACCUGUUAGGAAUAUUGAGAUUCCAAAUGAAAAGGUUUAACUUUGAUUGCAAAUUCAAACACAUUAUUACUGGAACCUCCAAGUUCCAUCAGCUGAAUUUCGAAUAGUGCUGUAAUUUCCUUUUCUCUGUUAGUUAGAUGACUCUUAUACUUGAAUGAUUCCUCUUUUUAUUAUUGGUAUUAUUAUCUGGAUAUAUUUCCUGAGCAAAUGUAUGCUGAACUGCUUCUAAAACACUUAACUUGUAAAACAAUUCGAACUCUAUUCUCACAACAAUGUUAAGAUAGCUCAACACAAAAUUAAGGACAGCCAAAAUAAGCAGAGAGAUUAAAUAACACACUUGAAUAGACCAGGAGUAAUAAUCUGGGCCUUGCCCAUGGGCAGAAGAUAAUUCCUGUAAUACCCAGGCUUCACAUCGAGCAGCUGCCCCUUUUUCCCCAAAUCUGUCACAUCCUCUUUCAAUAAUAUCUUUCUGGUCUUUUUGGCUUUCUUUUGAGCCCAAAUCAGCAUGGGCAUUCUUCUGUCUGGCAACUUGGAGAUUUCACCGUAGUGUCUACCAAAGCUGUGAAGCCAAGAGGAAGAACUCCAUGAGAGAGUUGCUGCUGUAGAUGGUGACGCUAUUAUUACAAGUGGCAGUGAGUAAUUCCCACACACCCCAGAGACCGUCCUUCUCGACUUCACUGGCUUUAUCCGUCGGACGUUGGACGCUCGGGCCUUCGUGUUGAGUCGACACGAGAAUCGGCCUUUGCGAAUCUUGUCGUUUUGGCCUUCCAACUAAAUAAAUAAACAAAAUAUUCUUCCAACCAAAUUACAAUUUCAGAAUCAGAAAAAGUUUUGACUGAAACUCAGAUUAAAAUUCUUGUAAUCUGAAUCAUCUGCAUCAAC